RNAcentral lists this long non-coding RNA (804 nucleotides) under Pan troglodytes (chimpanzee). RNAcentral's name for it is "lincRNA". The record is from RNAcentral. Lineage: Eukaryota; Metazoa; Chordata; Mammalia; Primates; Hominidae.
CAGUGCCCACUUUGUUCACCUCUGCUCACUGGGGGAGCCAGGACACGGAUCCAGGUUUUCUGACUCCGGGUCUCAGGCUUGCUCCAUAGCGCCACCUGCUGGUGACGGCAAUCGGUAGGCACCCAAAUCAAGACUCAGAUUUCCUCAUCUCAGAAGUUGUCCACUUCUUCUCCGACCUCCACGGUAACUCGGAACCACACCGUGGAGUUAUCCCUGUGUCCUCUUUCUCGGAAGUUCCACAUCCAACCCCUCAGCAGGUCUCAGCGGCACUCUCACCACCUCCUCUGCUCUGUUCCUGUUUCUCUUGGAUGGCCGAAUGUUUCCUAAGGAGUGUCUGCUGCUUCACGCUUGCCCCCUGGAGUGGCAUCUAAAAGGAUACCCUACAACUAACAGGCAUGAUGCCAUCAAGACAUCUUGAGCCUGGCUACCUCCCGUGGCCUGUAUUUUGUCCACAGGAAACUUGCGCAGUCUCACUACAGCAAAUUGAGGUGGUAUGGGGUGCCUGCUGCUGCCUCUCUCCUCACGUUUCCACAGAGGGCUGCCCCAGCCUGACUCCCACUUCCAGAGUUUCUCCAGCCAGGAGAAUCCUGAAAUCUCUGUAAAUAAGCAAUCCAGGAGCCAGAGAAUCAUGGGAUCUCAUAUAAACAAAUCAUCCAGGAAAAACACAGCCAGAGUCUCCAUUUGGUAAACCUCCGUGACUGGGGAUCCCCUGCCACCCAGAAAGCAGUAUUGCCUGCAAUGCAUGUCAUCACUGAUUUUUACUGCUGCAGCAGACUCCGUCAGACCUGCCUGCUUCUUCAGCGA